AUCGUUCAUCCCUUAGGGGGACGGAAGUAGUCGCAAGACGAAGGAACGCAUU
The submitters of this non-coding RNA (52 nucleotides) gave its source as unclassified sequences. The record is from Rfam.